Molecule: ribosomal RNA, 470 nt
Filed under: uncultured bacterium
Lineage: Bacteria
Description: partial 16S ribosomal RNA
Rfam family: Bacterial small subunit ribosomal RNA
Source: RNAcentral
GACGAACGCUGGCGGCGUGCUUAACACAUGCGAGUCGAACGCUGAAGCACCAGCUUGCUGGUGUGGAUGAGUGGCGAACGGGUGAGUAAUACGUGAGUAACCUGCCCUUGACUCUGGGAUAAGCCCGGGAAACUGGGUCUAAUACUGGAUGCUACAUGUCACCGCAUGGUGGUGUGUGGAAAGGGUUUACUGGUCUUGGAUGGGCUCACGGCCUAUCAGCUUGUUGGUGAGGUAAUGGCUCACCAAGGCGACGACGGGUAGCCGGCCUGAGAGGGUGACCGGCCACACUGGGACUGAGACACGGCCCAGACUCCUACGGGAGGCAGCAGUGGGGAAUAUUGCACAAUGGGCGAAAGCCUGAUGCAGCGGCGCCGCGUGAGGGAUGACGGCCUUCGGGUUGUAAACCUCUUUCAGCAGGGAAGAAGCCACAAGUGACGGUACCUGCAGAAGAAGCGCCGGCUAACUACGUG